This 620-nucleotide ribosomal RNA is filed under the name uncultured Geodermatophilus sp. Its description in RNAcentral is "bacterial SSU rRNA". It matches the Rfam family "Bacterial small subunit ribosomal RNA", at positions 426 to 1059 of the family's 1533-position model. Lineage: Bacteria; Bacillati; Actinomycetota; Actinomycetes; Geodermatophilales; Geodermatophilaceae. The record is from RNAcentral.
UAAACCACUUUCAGCUAGGACGAAGCGCAAGUGACGGUACUAGCAGAAGAAGCACCGGCCAACUACGUGCCAGCAGCCGCGGUGAUACGUAGGGUGCGAGCGUUGUCCGGAAUUAUUGGGCGUAAAGGGCUCGUAGGCGGUUCGUCACGUCGGAAGUGAAAACUCGGGGCUUAACCCCGAGCCUGCUUCCGAUACGGGCGAACUAGAGGUAUGCAGGGGAGAAUGGAAUUCCUGGUGGAGCGGUGGAAUGCGCAGAUAUCAGGAGGAACACCAGUGGCGAAGGCGGCUCUCUGGGCCUGUACUGACGCUGAGGAGCGAAAGCGUGGGGAGCGAACAGGAUUAGAUACCCUGGUAGUCCACGCCGUAAACGUUGGGCGCUAGGUGUGGGGGCCAUUCCACGGUCUCCGUGCCGCAGCUAACGCAUUAAGCGCCCCGCCUGGGGAGUACGGCCGCAAGGCUAAAACUCAAAGGAAUUGACGGGGGCCCGCACAAGCGGCGGAGCAUGUUGCUUAAUUCGAUGCAACGCGAAGAACCUUACCUAGGCUUGACAUGCACGGAAAUCUCGCAGAGAUGCGGGGUCCGUAAGGGCCGUGCACAGGUGGUGCAUGGUUGUCGUCAGC